RNAcentral lists this ribosomal RNA (465 nucleotides) under Vreelandella stevensii. Its description in RNAcentral is "partial 16S ribosomal RNA". It matches the Rfam family "Bacterial small subunit ribosomal RNA", at positions 338 to 795 of the family's 1533-position model. The record is from RNAcentral. Lineage: Bacteria; Pseudomonadati; Pseudomonadota; Gammaproteobacteria; Oceanospirillales; Halomonadaceae.
CCUACGGGCGGCAGCAGUGGGGAAUAUUGGACAAUGGGGGGAACCCUGAUCCAGCCAUGCCGCGUGUGUGAAGAAGGCCCUCGGGUUGUAAAGCACUUUCAGUGAGGAAGAACGCCUGGUGGUUAAUACCCAUCAGGAAAGACAUCACUCACAGAAGAAGCACCGGCUAACUCCGUGCCAGCAGCCGCGGUAAUACGGAGGGUGCGAGCGUUAAUCGGAAUUACUGGGCGUAAAGCGCGCGUAGGUGGCUUGAUAAGCCGGUUGUGAAAGCCCCGGGCUCAACCUGGGAACGGCAUCCGGAACUGUCAAGCUAGAGUGCAGGAGAGGAAGGUAGAAUUCCCGGUGUAGCGGUGAAAUGCGUAGAGAUCGGGAGGAAUACCAGUGGCGAAGGCGGCCUUCUGGACUGACACUGACACUGAGGUGCGAAAGCGUGGGUAGCGAACAGGAUUAGAUACCCCUGUAGUC